GAGUAACGCCAUGGUAAGGCGUAAGUCAUCGGUUCAAAUCCGAUAAAGGGCU
RNAcentral lists this transfer RNA (52 nucleotides) under Lankesteriana caudatipetala. RNAcentral describes it as "partial tRNA-Thr". It matches the Rfam family "tRNA", at positions 21 to 71 of the family's 71-position model. From Rfam's summary of the family: Transfer RNA (tRNA) molecules are approximately 80 nucleotides in length. Their secondary structure includes four short double-helical elements and three loops (D, anti-codon, and T loops). Further hydrogen bonds mediate the characteristic L-shaped molecular structure. tRNAs have two regions of fundamental functional importance: the anti-codon, which is responsible for specific mRNA codon recognition, and the 3' end, to which the tRNAs corresponding amino acid is attached (by aminoacyl-tRNA synthetases). tRNAs cope with the degeneracy of the genetic code in two manners: having more than one tRNA (with a specific anti-codon) for a particular amino acid; and 'wobble' base-pairing, i.e. permitting non-standard base-pairing at the 3rd anti-codon position. The record is from RNAcentral. Lineage: Eukaryota; Viridiplantae; Streptophyta; Magnoliopsida; Asparagales; Orchidaceae.